This 446-nucleotide ribosomal RNA is filed under the name uncultured bacterium. RNAcentral's name for it is "partial 16S ribosomal RNA". It matches the Rfam family "Bacterial small subunit ribosomal RNA", at positions 338 to 795 of the family's 1533-position model. The record is from RNAcentral.
CCUACGGGUGGCAGCAGUCGAGAAUCAUUCACAAUGGGGGAAACCCUGAUGGUGCGACGCCGCGUGGGGGAAUGAAGGUCUUCGGAUUGUAAACCCCUGUCAUGUGGGAGCAAAUUAAAAAGAUAGUACCCCAAGAGGAAGAGACGGCUAACUCUGUGCCAGCGGCCGCGGUAAUACAGAGGUCUCAAGCGUUGUUCGGAAUCACUGGGCGUAAAGCGUGCGUAGGCUGUUUCGUAAGUCGUGUGUGAAAGGCGCGGGCUCAACCCGCGGACGGCACAUGAUACUGCGAGACUAGAGUAAUGGAGGGGGAACCGGAAUUCUCGGUGUAGCAGUGAAAUGCGUAGAUAUCGAGAGGAACACUCGUGGCGAAGGCGGGUUCCUGGACAUUAACUGACGCUGAGGCACGAAGGCCAGGGGAGCGAAAGGGAUUAGAUACCCCUGUAGUC